UGUGUUCUGUAGAGGCCCUGUGUC
This 24-nucleotide non-coding RNA is filed under the name Mus musculus (house mouse). The record is from RNAcentral. Lineage: Eukaryota; Metazoa; Chordata; Mammalia; Rodentia; Muridae.